This 1116-nucleotide long non-coding RNA is filed under the name Oryctolagus cuniculus (rabbit). RNAcentral describes it as "lncRNA (ENSOCUG00000030208.1)". The record is from RNAcentral. Lineage: Eukaryota; Metazoa; Chordata; Mammalia; Lagomorpha; Leporidae.
AUGUUCAUCACAGCAAUAUUUAUAACGGCAAAAACUGGAGAUCAGGCGAACGCCAGAAAGCUCAGAAAGCAGCGAUGGGCUGACCGAGUGGACAUCGCACAGGCGCCAGGGGACAGAGGGGGCCGUCCUGUACCUGAGAUUGGGUGGAAGCAAAACAGCAGGCAGACACGCUCUCACAGACCUCACACCCCCAGGCAGACACGCUCUCACAGACCUCACACCAACAGGCAGACACGCUCUCACAGACCUCACACCAACAGGCAGACACGCUCUCACAGACUUCACACCAACAGGCAGACACGCUCUCACACUUCACACCAACAGGCAGACAUGCUCUCACAGACCUCACACCAACAGGCAGACACGCUCUCACAGACUUCACACCACCAGGCAGACACGUUCUCACACUUCACACCAACAGGCAGACACACUCUCACACUUCACACCAACAGGAAGACACGCCCUCACAGGCUUCACACCCCCAGGCAGACACGCUCUCACAGACUUCACACCGCCAGGCAGACACGCUCUCACACUUCACACCCCCAGGCAGACACACUCUCACACUUCACACCCCCAGGCAGACACGCUCUCACAGACCUCACACCAACAGGCAGACACGCUCUCACACUUCACACCCCCAGGCAGACACGCUCUCACACUUCACACCCCCAGGCAGACAUGCUCUCACACUUCACACCAACAGGCAGACACGCUCUCACAGGCUUCACACCCCCAGGCAGACAUGCUCUCACACUUAACACCCCCAGGCAGACACGCUCUCAGACUUCACACUGCCAGGAAGACACGCUCUCACACUUCACACCAACAGGCAGACACACUCUCACACUUCACACCCCCAGGCAGACACGCUCUCAGACUUCACACCGCCAGGCAGACACGCUCUCAUACUUCACACCGCCAGGCAGACACGCUCUCAGACGUCACACGGCGGAGACGGGUAUUUCCGUCCUUGCGCCCCCAGCGCUCAGCAUGAGGCAGAUGCUCCAAUGUUCACUAAAUGUCUACACAUCUGAGACCAUGAACAACAAGGCAGAGGUGACAGGGCUGGAGACUGGUGAACGGGCAGAGGGCUCCUUGGCUUCCCUUCAGUAG